ACAGCAGCAGCCGCGGGAAUACGGAGGGAGCUAGCGUUGUUCGGAAUUACUGGGCGUAAAGCGCGCGUAGGCGGUUACUCAAGUCAGAGGUGAAAGCCCGGGGCUCAACCCCGGAACUGCCUUUGAAACUAGGUGACUAGAAUCUUGGAGAGGUCAGUGGAAUUCCGAGUGUAGAGGUGAAAUUCGUAGAUAUUCGGAAGAACACCAGUGGCGAAGGCGACUGACUGGACAAGUAUUGACGCUGAGGUGCGAAAGCGUGGGGAGCAAACAGGAUUAGAUACCCCCGUAGUCCCUGUCUCUUAUAC
This 305-nucleotide ribosomal RNA is filed under the name uncultured bacterium. RNAcentral describes it as "partial 16S ribosomal RNA". It matches the Rfam family "Bacterial small subunit ribosomal RNA", at positions 505 to 807 of the family's 1533-position model. The record is from RNAcentral.